GAAAUGCGAUGUGUGGAACUAAGCGUGCGACAAGUAGGGCGGGACACGAGAAAUCCUGUCUGAAUAUGGGGGGACCAUCCUCCAAGGCUAAAUACUCGUAAUCGACCGAUAGUGAACCAGUACCGUGAGGGAAAGGCGAAAAGAACCCCGGGAGGGGAGUGAAAUAGAUCCUGAAACCGUGUGCAUACAAACAGUAGGAGCGGACUUGUUCCGUGACUGCGUACCUUUUGUAUAAUGGGUCAGCGACUUACAUUCAGUGGCAAGGUUAACCAUAUAGGGAAGCCGUAGAGAAAUCGAGUCCGAAUAGGGCGAUAGUCGCUGGGUGUAGACCCGAAACCAAGUGAUCUACUCAUGGCCAGGAUGAAGGUGCGGUAACACGCACUGGAGGUCCGAACCCACUAAUGUUGAAAAAUUAGGGGAUGAGCUGUGGGUAGGGGUGAAAGGCUAAACAAACUUGGAAAUAGCUGGUUCUCUCCGAAAACUAUUUAGGUAGUGCCUCAAGUAUCACCAUCGGGGGUAGAGCACUGUUAUGGCUAGGGGGUCAUCGCGACUUACCAAACCAUUGCAAACUCCGAAUACCGAUGAGUGCGAGCUUGGGAGACAGACGUCGGGUGCUAACGUCCGGCGUCAAGAGGGAAACAACCCAGACCGCCAGCUAAGGUCCCAAAGAUUGGCUAAGUGGAAAACGAAGUGGGAAGGCUAAAACAGUCAGGAUGUUGGCUUAGAAGCAGCCAUCAUUUAAAGAAAGCGUAAUAGCUCACUGAUCGAGUCGUCCUGCGCGGAAGAUGUAACGGGGCUAAGCCAGUCACCGAAGCUGCGGAUAUGCGUAAGCAUAUGGUAGGAGAGCGUUCUGUAAGCCUGCGAAGGUGUCUUGUAAAGGAUGCUGGAGGUAUCAGAAGUGCGAAUGCUGACAUGAGUAGCGAUAAUGGGGGUGAAAAGCCCCCACGCCGUAAGCCCAAGGUUUCCUGUUCAACGUUCAUCGGAGCAGGGUGAGUCGGCCCCUAAGGCGAGGCAGAGAUGCGUAGCUGAUGGGAAGCAGGUUAAUAUUCCUGCACCGUCGUAUGAUGCGAUGGGGGGACGGAUCGCGGAAGGUUGUCUGCCUGUUGGAAUAGGCAGUUUCUGGUUCAUAGAAGGCGCUUAGGCAAAUCCGGGCGCAGGAUUCAAGGGACUGGGACGAGGCAUUUAGGUGCUGAAGCAAUCGGAAGUGGUUCCAAGAAAAGCCUCUAAGCUUCAGUCAUACGAGACCGUACCGCAAACCGACACAGGUGGGCGAGAUGAGUAUUCUAAGGCGCUUGAGAGAACUCGGGAGAAGGAACUCGGCAAAUUGGUACCGUAACUUCGGGAAAAGGUACGCCCUUGUAGCUUGGCUGAUUUACUUCAGUAGGGUGAACGGGUUGCAAUAAACUGGUGGCUGCGACUGUUUAAUAAAAACACAGCACUCUGCAAACACGAAAGUGGACGUAUAGGGUGUGACGCCUGCCCGGUGCUGGAAGAUUAAAUGAUGGGGUGCAAGC
RNAcentral lists this ribosomal RNA (1514 nucleotides) under Duganella violaceipulchra. RNAcentral describes it as "partial 23S ribosomal RNA". It matches the Rfam family "Bacterial large subunit ribosomal RNA", at positions 381 to 1905 of the family's 2925-position model. Lineage: Bacteria; Pseudomonadati; Pseudomonadota; Betaproteobacteria; Burkholderiales; Oxalobacteraceae. The record is from RNAcentral.